GGACGAACGCUGGCGGCGUGCUUAACACAUGCAAGUCGAACGGAAAGGCCCUGCUUUUGUGGGGUGCUCGAGUGGCGAACGGGUGAGUAACACGUGAGUAACCUGCCCUUGACUUUGGGAUAACUUCAGGAAACUGGGGCUAAUACCGGAUAGGAGCUCCUGCUGCAUGGUGGGGGUUGGAAAGUUUCGGCGGUUGGGGAUGGACUCGCGGCUUAUCAGCUUGUUGGUGGGGUAGUGGCUUACCAAGGCUUUGACGGGUAGCCGGCCUGAGAGGGUGACCGGCCACAUUGGGACUGAGAUACGGCCCAGACUCCUACGGGAGGCAGCAGUGGGGAAUAUUGCACAAUGGGCGGAAGCCUGAUGCAGCAACGCCGCGUGCGGGAUGACGGCCUUCGGGUUGUAAACCGCUUUCGCCUGUGACGAAGCGUGAGUGACGGUAAUGGGUAAAGAAGCACCGGCUAACUACGUGCCAGCAGCCGCGGUGAUACGUAGGGUGCGAGCGUUGUCCGGAUUUAUUGGGCGUAAAGGGCUCGUAGGUGGUUGAUCGCGUCGGAAGUGUAAUCUUGGGGCUUAACCCUGAGCGUGCUUUCGAUACGGGUUGACUUGAGGAAGGUAGGGGAGAAUGGAAUUCCUGGUGGAGCGGUGGAAUGCGCAGAUAUCAGGAGGAACACCAGUGGCGAAGGCGGUUCUUUUGGGCCUUUCCUGACGCUGAGGAGCGAAAGCGUGGGGAGCGAACAGGCUUAGAUACCCUGGUAGUCCACGCUGUAAACGGUGGGUACUAGGUGUGGGGUCCAUUCCACGGGUUCCGUGCCGUAGCUAACGCUUUAAGUACCCCGCCUGGGGAGUACGGCCGCAAGGCUAAAACUCAAAGGAAUUGACGGGGCCCCGCACAAGCGGCGGAGCAUGCGGAUUAAUUCGAUGCAACGCGUAGAACCUUACCUGGGUUUGACAUGGAUCGGGAGUGCUCAGAGAUGGGUGUGCCUCUUUUGGGGUCGGUUCACAGGUGGUGCAUGGCUGUCGUCAGCUCGUGUCGUGAGAUGUUGGGUUAAGUCCCGCAACGAGCGCAACCCUUGUUCACUGUUGCCAGCACGUUAUGGUGGGGACUCAGUGGAGACCGCCGGGGUCAACUCGGAGGAAGGUGGGGAUGACGUCAAGUCAUCAUGCCCCUUAUGUCCAGGGCUUCACGCAUGCUACAAUGGCUGGUACAGAGAGUGGCGAGCCUGUGAGGGUGAGCGAAUCUCGGAAAGCCGGUCUCAGUUCGGAUUGGGGUCUGCAACUCGACCUCAUGAAGUCGGAGUCGCUAGUAAUCGCAGAUCAGCAACGCUGCGGUGAAUACGUUCCCGGGGCUUGUACACACCGCCCGUCAAGUCAUGAAAGUUGGUAACACCCGAAGCCGGAGGCCUAACCGUUGUGGGGGAGCCGUCGAAGGUGG
Molecule: ribosomal RNA, 1432 nt
Filed under: uncultured organism
Description: 16S ribosomal RNA
Rfam family: Bacterial small subunit ribosomal RNA
Source: RNAcentral